CAAAAAACCAGCAUCAGGUGGCGCUGGCCGAGACUACAACUAAAGACCGUCGAAAGACGCCGUGCAGGAUUCGGCGGACGGUGACGCGCUGCGUCGAAGAUCGGUGAUUGGCGGCUCGAAGCCUUUUACCCUGCAACCAAUGUGAGCGGAUUCUAGCAGGGUUUUAUAGAUCGUCAACACUAUAAAACCCCGAAAUUAUAACAAAAAGUAA
Non-coding RNA from Burkholderia vietnamiensis G4, 211 nucleotides. Lineage: Bacteria; Pseudomonadati; Pseudomonadota; Betaproteobacteria; Burkholderiales; Burkholderiaceae. The record is from Rfam.